AGUUUUCUUCGGGGCAGGGUGAAAUUCCCUACCGGCGGUUACAGUCCGCGACUCUCUUCUUCGGAAGAGACUGAUCUGGUGAAAUUCCGGAACCGACAGUUAAAGUCUGGAUGGGAGAAGAAAAUG
RNAcentral lists this non-coding RNA (126 nucleotides) under Chryseobacterium sp. Its description in RNAcentral is "FMN sequence". It matches the Rfam family "FMN riboswitch aptamer (RFN element)". From Rfam's summary of the family: The RFN element is a highly conserved domain that is found frequently in the 5'-untranslated regions of prokaryotic mRNAs that encode for flavin mononucleotide (FMN) biosynthesis and transport proteins. Lineage: Bacteria; Pseudomonadati; Bacteroidota; Flavobacteriia; Flavobacteriales; Weeksellaceae. The record is from RNAcentral.